ACUUUUAGCGAUUGCGUCCAAAGGAAUCGGCGAUAUGCCACCAAGGCUUCAACGUAUUUUUCUGCGCUUGUUGAAGUAUGAUUAUUCCCUUCACUUUGUUCCAGGAAAAGAGUUGCUGCUGGCCGACAUGUUGUCAAGGGCUCCCAAAAAACCACGGGACAUCGGACCCUCCCAAGACGACGUAGAGGUUUAUGCAGUGGGUGUGGUCACGAACAUGGUACGAGUUCCAGCACAUUACAUCGAGCCCUGGAUUUCCACAGUCGAACGGACUUGCUGUUCAAGUUGUGAAAAAAAUUCUGAAAAAAACUAAAGAGACACAGCAGGACUUCUGGCUGGGACUGCUAUCCCACCGUGCGACGCCGCUGGAAGACGGUCGGUCGCCCGGUGAGCUCCUGCAAGGCAGAA
Rhipicephalus sanguineus (brown dog tick) is the source of this 405-nucleotide long non-coding RNA. RefSeq lists it as uncharacterized. The record is from RefSeq and is a predicted model, not a curated record. NCBI's taxonomy places the organism in Eukaryota, Metazoa, Arthropoda, Arachnida, Ixodida, Ixodidae. The transcript has 2 exons.